AAGGAAGAAGGUUUUCAGGAUCGUAAACBUCUAUCAGCAGGGAAGAAUAAUGACGGUACCUGAMUAAGAAGCCCCGGCUAACUCACGUGCCAGCAGCCGCGGUAAUACGUAGGGGGCAAGCGUUAUCCGGAAUUACUGGGUGUAAAGGGUGCGUAGGCGGUACGAUAAGUCAGAUGUGAAAGCCCCGGGCUCAACCUGGGGACUGCAUUUGAAACUAUCGAACURGAGUGCGAGGAGAGGAGAAGUGGAAUUCCGUAGUGUAGCGGUGAAAUGCGUAGAGAUURGGUGGAACACCAGUGGCGAAGGCGACUUUCUGGACUGUAAGCUGACGCUGAGGCRCGAAAGCGUGGGGAGCGAACAGGAUUAGAUACCCUGGUAGUCCACGCUGUAAACGAUGARUGCUAGGUG
Molecule: ribosomal RNA, 408 nt
Filed under: uncultured delta proteobacterium
Lineage: Bacteria; Deltaproteobacteria
Description: bacterial SSU rRNA
Rfam family: Bacterial small subunit ribosomal RNA
Source: RNAcentral